CAAAGCGUUAGUAGAACGGCCCUCGGAGGGCUGCUCGGCGGCGCUGAUACUCUUAGCUCCUCGCUCCCGCUGACAGCAAACUAGGCGGAGUCGCGGGGCCGGGUCCCUGCUCCCGCCAUGAGUCUCGCGCGGCCGAGCGCCCCCACAGUGCCGCGUCUCCUCGGCAGUCUGUGCCUGCUGCUGCUGUGGCCGCCAGCUACGAGGGGUGACUGUGGCCCUCCCUCGGAAGUACCUAAUGCCCACGCAGACUUGAGAGGUCUUUCAAGUUUCCCUGUGAAUAGCACAGUCACAUACAGAUGUAAUGAAGGCUUUGUAAAAGUUCUUGGCCAGACAGACUCAGUGAUCUGUCUUGAGAAUGAUCAGUGGUCAGAGAUUUCAGAAUUCUGUAAUCGUAGCUGUGAUUUUCCACCCCAGCUACAUUUUGCAAUGCUCAAAAGGCCUUAUAGCACCCAGAAUUAUUUUCCAGCCGAGUCCACUGUGGAAUAUGAGUGCCGUUUGGGGUACAAAAGGGUCUUUGGUCUAUCACGAACACUAACUUGCCUUCAGAAUUUCAAAUGGUCUGAACCAGCUGACUUUUGUACAAAAAAAUCAUGUACUAAUCCUGGAGAAUUAUUAAAUGGUCACAUCAAUGUAACAACUGACUUCUUAUUUGGUGCAACCAUCUACUUCUCAUGUAAUACAGGGUACAAACUAGUUGGUGCAGAAUUUAGUCACUGUAUUAUUGUGGGUGAUGAUGUUGGGUGGACUGACCCACUUCCACUUUGCACAGAAAUUCAUUGUCAAAAACCACCAGAAAUUGAGAAUGGAAGAAUAAUUGGAGGAGAACGCGACAUUUAUGUAUAUAAUCAGGCUGUAAUGUAUGCGUGUAAUAGAGGCCUUACCCUGAUUGGAAAGGACACCAUUCAUUGUACUGCAAGAGGCGAUGAAGGAGAAUGGAGUGACCCACCACCUCAGUGCCGAGGAAGAUCUCCACCUGCCACCUUCCCACCACCAGAUCCUAAACCUACCACUGCAAAAGUUCCAGGUACAUCAACUUCUCACAAACCCACCACAGUUCCAGGUACAAAAGUCACACCUACUUCUCGGAAACCCUCAAAAGCUCCAGCAACCCAGGGUGAACUUCUUCCCAGGACAACCAAGCGUUCUCAUACAACAACUGUACCUAAAGGAGGAAAGAUCCCUUCAGAUUCUUCCUCAAUUAUAGCCGGAAUUCUUGCUGGUAUUUUAAUAGUUUCUACCCUAAGUCUAGGCAUUGGACUAUGGAAAUUGAGGGCUUAUCAUCGUCGCUGCCGGUAACUGAAACCAUGGAUGAGGGGACUACUGUAUUUCUUUUGCAUUGUAUUUGGGGAUUUUGCGGGCACACAUAUUUAACUUUGACAGUUUUGCUUAUGAUGCUAGUAACUACUGGCUAGCUGACCUAGCCAAAGAAGAGUUAAGAAGAAAGUGCAUACAAGUACACAGAUUAUUUCUAAUUAUUUAGACCUGACUGCAGGAAUGGAUACAAUAAAUGCAGUAGUGCUCUUCGUUUUGAACGUUAUCAUUGUCUUUAACAUGUAUUAGGAAACUCAACAAAGCAAGGAGAAAGGAGUCCACUCUGGAAUCACACACUUAACAUACUUAAGCCUCUUGAAAAUAGAACAACUUACAGAAUUGAGAAUGAUUAUUUUCCUAAAAGUGUAGCAAGGUAUAGACAUUUGUUCAUACUUAGAAUGGGAGCAUGAAGAAAAGAAAAUAAGUGAUUUUUUCCGACUGGAUGUGUAAUAUUUUUACUUAAAAAAGAAAUUUAAAAAAUAUAAAACAUUAAUUGGGUAGCAAAAACAAACAAAAAGCUGAAUCCAGUCUCUUCUAAGCAAAGUUGCCAAGGAGCGAUGAACCACAGUAUAAAAAAUGAGCCUGAAUGGGUUGGCAAAAUAUUUUGAAGGAAAAACAUGCUAAUGAACAAGGAGUAUUGGUGGUGGCAAGGGAAGAGCAUAGAAUGAAAGACUAAUUCUUCUUUUGUUGUAUAAACACAGCCCAUUAUGUGUAACAUGAAUAUGCUACAAUCUUUUCUUUUUUUUUUAAUUGAAAAUGAGUCCUUUAGGUAAAGAUAUCCUCUUUGACUUAAUCUCUUUAAAAGUAUCAGGGAUGUUACAAUAUUAAUAUAAGAAAAGCUUCAAUGUUUCUGAUGUGAGAUGUUCACAGCCAAAUUGUAAAUUGUAUUCUUUUGUAACAUUAAGAUUAAUUUAUUUAUAUUUAUUUCUGUCAGUAAACAUAUUGGUUUUGCAUAUAAAACAAGAAAGCUUAUAUGUAAAGAAAAAUUUAUUUUCCCAAAUAGAAAUAAACAAUUUAUCACAA
Lemur catta (Ring-tailed lemur) is the source of this 2334-nucleotide RNA transcript. It is a transcript of the gene named CD55 molecule (Cromer blood group), with no coding region annotated. The record is from RefSeq and is a predicted model, not a curated record. NCBI's taxonomy places the organism in Eukaryota, Metazoa, Chordata, Mammalia, Primates, Lemuridae. The transcript is spliced from 12 exons.